Echinops telfairi (small Madagascar hedgehog) is the source of this 164-nucleotide small nuclear RNA. Its record names the gene U1. It matches the Rfam family "U1 spliceosomal RNA". From Rfam's summary of the family: U1 is a small nuclear RNA (snRNA) component of the spliceosome (involved in pre-mRNA splicing). Lineage: Eukaryota; Metazoa; Chordata; Mammalia; Afrosoricida; Tenrecidae. The record is from Ensembl.
CUAAAAACCUGGCAGGGGAGAUACCACGAUCAGGAAGGUGGUUUUCCCAGGGCGAGGCUCAUCCAUUGCACUCCGGAUGGGCUGACCCCUGCGCUUUCCCCAAAUGUGGGAAACUUGACUGCAUAAUUUGUGGUAGCAGGGGACUGUGUUCGCGCUCUUCCCUG